This 467-nucleotide ribosomal RNA is filed under the name uncultured bacterium. RNAcentral's name for it is "bacterial SSU rRNA". It matches the Rfam family "Bacterial small subunit ribosomal RNA", at positions 28 to 508 of the family's 1533-position model. The record is from RNAcentral.
GACGAACGCUGGCGGCGUGCCUAACACAUGCAAGUCGAACGGGGUAAAUUGCUUCGGUAGUUUACUUAGUGGCGAACGGGUGAGUAACGCGUGAGGAACCUGCCUCUCAGUGGGGGACAACAGUUGGAAACGACUGCUAAUACCGCAUAACAUUCAGAGACCGCAUGAUUUCUGAAUCAAAGCUUUAUGUGCUGAGAGAUGGCCUCGCGUCUGAUUAGCUAGUUGGUGAGGUAACGGCUCACCAAGGCGACGAUCAGUAGCCGGUCUGAGAGGAUGAACGGCCACAUUGGGACUGAGAUACGGCCCAGACUCCUACGGGAGGCAGCAGUGGGGAAUAUUGGGCAAUGGGGGAAACCCUGACCCAGCAACGCCGCGUGAGGGAAGAAGGCUUUCGGGUGUAAACCUCUUUACCUAGGGACGAAGAACGUGACGGUACCUGGAGAAAAAGACAACGGCUAACUACGUAG